RNAcentral lists this ribosomal RNA (1450 nucleotides) under uncultured organism. RNAcentral describes it as "SSU rRNA". It matches the Rfam family "Bacterial small subunit ribosomal RNA". The record is from RNAcentral.
GAUGAACGCUAGCUACAGGCUUAACACAUGCAAGUCGAGGGGCAGCAUGGUCUUAGCUUGCUAAGGCCGAUGGCGACCGGCGCACGGGUGAGUAACACGUAUCCAACCUGCCGUCUACUCUUGGACAGCCUUCUGAAAGGAAGAUUAAUACAAGAUGGCAUCAUGAGUCCGCAUGUUCACAUGAUUAAAGGUAUUCCGGUAGACGAUGGGGAUGCGUUCCAUUAGAUAGUAGGCGGGGUAACGGCCCACCUAGUCUUCGAUGGAUAGGGGUUCUGAGAGGAAGGUCCCCCACAUUGGAACUGAGACACGGUCCAAACUCCUACGGGAGGCAGCAGUGAGGAAUAUUGGUCAAUGGGCGAGAGCCUGAACCAGCCAAGUAGCGUGAAGGAUGACUGCCCUAUGGGUUGUAAACUUCUUUUAUAAAGGAAUAAAGUCGGGUAUGGAUACCCGUUUGCAUGUACUUUAUGAAUAAGGAUCGGCUAACUCCGUGCCAGCAGCCGCGGUAAUACGGAGGAUCCGAGCGUUAUCCGGAUUUAUUGGGUUUAAAGGGAGCGUAGAUGGAUGUUUAAGUCAGUUGUGAAAGUUUGCGGCUCAACCGUAAAAUUGCAGUUGAUACUGGAUAUCUUGAGUGCAGUUGAGGCAGGCGGAAUUCGUGGUGUAGCGGUGAAAUGCUUAGAUAUCACGAAGAACUCCGAUUGCGAAGGCAGCCUGCUAAGCUGCAACUGACAUUGAGGCUCGAAAGUGUGGGUAUCAAACAGGAUUAGAUACCCUGGUAGUCCACACGGUAAACGAUGAAUACUCGCUGUUUGCGAUAUACAGCAAGCGGCCAAGCGAAAGCGUUAAGUAUUCCACCUGGGGAGUACGCCGGCAACGGUGAAACUCAAAGGAAUUGACGGGGGCCCGCACAAGCGGAGGAACAUGUGGUUUAAUUCGAUGAUACGCGAGGAACCUUACCCGGGCUUAAAUUGCAGAUGAAUUACGGUGAAAGCCGUAAGCCGCAAGGCAUCUGUGAAGGUGCUGCAUGGUUGUCGUCAGCUCGUGCCGUGAGGUGUCGGCUUAAGUGCCAUAACGAGCGCAACCCUUGUUGUCAGUUACUAACAGGUUCCGCUGAGGACUCUGACAAGACUGCCAUCGUAAGAUGUGAGGAAGGUGGGGAUGACGUCAAAUCAGCACGGCCCUUACGUCCGGGGCUACACACGUGUUACAAUGGGGGGUACAGAGGGCCGCUACCACGCGAGUGGAUGCCAAUCCCCAAAACCUCUCUCAGUUCGGACUGGAGUCUGCAACCCGACUCCACGAAGCUGGAUUCGCUAGUAAUCGCGCAUCAGCCACGGCGCGGUGAAUAUGUUCCCGGGCCUUGUACACACCGCCCGUCAAGCCAUGGGAGCCGGGGGUACCUGAAGUGCGUAACCGCGAGGAGCGCCCUAGGGUAAAACUGGUGACUGGGGCU